RNAcentral lists this ribosomal RNA (498 nucleotides) under uncultured bacterium. RNAcentral's name for it is "bacterial SSU rRNA". It matches the Rfam family "Bacterial small subunit ribosomal RNA", at positions 28 to 526 of the family's 1533-position model. The record is from RNAcentral.
GACGAACGCUGGCGGCGUGCUUAACACAUGCAAGUGGAGCGACGAACCCGAGCUUGCUCGGGGGCAGAGCCGCGAACGGGUGAGUAACACGUGGGUCACCUGCCUCAAUGACCGGGACAACCCGAAGAAAUUCGGGCUAAUACCGGAUGUGCACUUCGGUGGAAAGGUAGCUUCGGCUUCCGCAUUGAGAUGGGCCCGCGGAGCAUUAGCUUGUUGGUGGGGUAAUGGCCUACCAAGGCGACGAUGCUUAGCUGGUCUGAGAGGACGAUCAGCCACACUGGGACUGAGACACGGCCCAGACUCCUACGGGAGGCAGCAGUGGGGAAUCUUGCGCAAUGCGCGAAAGCGUGACGCAGCAACGCCGCGUGGGGGAAGAAGGCCUUCGGGUUGUAAACCUCUUUCAGUUGGGACGAAGCUUCUGCGGUUAAUAGCCGUAUGGAGUGACGGUACCUUCACAAGAAGCCCCGGCUAACUACGUGCCAGCCGCCGCGGUAAAAC